This 68-nucleotide transfer RNA is filed under the name Marmota monax (woodchuck). Its description in RNAcentral is "tRNA.Asp". Lineage: Eukaryota; Metazoa; Chordata; Mammalia; Rodentia; Sciuridae. The record is from RNAcentral.
GUUGUGGCUCAGUGGUAGAGUGCUUGCCUAUCAUGCACGAGGUGCUGGGUUCAAUGCUCAACACGACA